This 486-nucleotide ribosomal RNA is filed under the name uncultured bacterium. RNAcentral describes it as "bacterial SSU rRNA". It matches the Rfam family "Bacterial small subunit ribosomal RNA", at positions 233 to 731 of the family's 1533-position model. The record is from RNAcentral.
GCGGCCUAUCAGCUAGUUGGUGAGGUAAUGGCUCACCAAGGCGACGACGGGUAGCCGGCCUGAGAGGGCGACCGGCCACACUGGGACUGAGACACGGCCCAGACUCCUACGGGAGGCAGCAGUGGGGAAUAUUGCACAAUGGGCGAAAGCCUGAUGCAGCGACGCCGCGUGAGGGAUGACGGCCUUCGGGUUGUAAACCUCUUUCAGCAGGGAAGAAGCGAAAGUGACGGUACCUGCAGAAGAAGCACCGGCUAACUACGUGCCAGCAGCCGCGGUAAUACGUAGGGUGCGAGCGUUGUCCGGAAUUAUUGGGCGUAAAGAGCUUGUAGGCGGUUUGUCGCGUCUGCAGUGAAAAUCCGAGGCUCAACCUCGGACUUGCUGUGGGUACGGGCAGACUAGAGUAUGGUAGGGGAGACCGGAAUUCCUGGUGUAGCGGUGGAAUGCGCAGAUAUCAGGAGGAACACCGAUGGCGAAGGCAGGUCUCUG